GUCGAGCGGAAACGAGUUAUCUGAACCUUCGGGGAACGAUAACGGCGUCGAGCGGCGGACGGGUGAGUAAUGCCUAGGAAAUUGCCCUGAUGUGGGGGAUAACCAUUGGAAACGAUGGCUAAUACCGCAUGAUGCCUACGGGCCAAAGAGGGGGACCUUCGGGCCUCUCGCGUCAGGAUAUGCCUAGGUGGGAUUAGCUAGUUGGUGAGGUAAGGGCUCACCAAGGCGACGAUCCCUAGCUGGUCUGAGAGGAUGAUCAGCCACACUGGAACUGAGACACGGUCCAGACUCCUACGGGAGGCAGCAGUGGGGAAUAUUGCACAAUGGGCGCAAGCCUGAUGCAGCCAUGCCGCGUGUGUGAAGAAGGCCUUCGGGUUGUAAAGCACUUUCAGUCGUGAGGAAGGUGGUGUAGUUAAUAGCUGCAUUAUUUGACGUUAGCGACAGAAGAAGCACCGGCUAACUCCGUGCCAGCAGCCGCGGUAAUACGGAGGGUGCGAGCGUUAAUCGGAAUUACUGGGCGUAAAGCGCAUGCAGGUGGUUUGUUAAGUCAGAUGUGAAAGCCCGGGGCUCAACCUCGGAAUAGCAUUUGAAACUGGCAGACUAGAGUACUGUAGAGGGGGGUAGAAUUUCAGGUGUAGCGGUGAAAUGCGUAGAGAUCUGAAGGAAUACCGGUGGCGAAGGCGGCCCCCUGGACAGAUACUGACACUCAGAUGCGAAAGCGUGGGGAGCAAACAGGAUUAGAUACCCUGGUAGUCCACGCCGUAAACGAUGUCUACUUGGAGGUUGUGGCCUUGAGCCGUGGCUUUCGGAGCUAACGCGUUAAGUAGACCGCCUGGGGAGUACGGUCGCAAGAUUAAAACUCAAAUGAAUUGACGGGGGCCCGCACAAGCGGUGGAGCAUGUGGUUUAAUUCGAUGCAACGCGAAGAACCUUACCUACUCUUGACAUCCAGAGAACUUUCCAGAGAUGGAUUGGUGCCUUCGGGAACUCUGAGACAGGUGCUGCAUGGCUGUCGUCAGCUCGUGUUGUGAAAUGUUGGGUUAAGUCCCGCAACGAGCGCAACCCUUAUCCUUGUUUGCCAGCGAGUAAUGUCGGGAACUCCAGGGAGACUGCCGGUGAUAAACCGGAGGAAGGUGGGGACGACGUCAAGUCAUCAUGGCCCUUACGAGUAGGGCUACACACGUGCUACAAUGGCGCAUACAGAGGGCGGCCAACUUGCGAAAGUGAGCGAAUCCCAAAAAGUGCGUCGUAGUCCGGAUUGGAGUCUGCAACUCGACUCCAUGAAGUCGGAAUCGCUAGUAAUCGUGGAUCAGAAUGCCACGGUGAAUACGUUCCCGGGCCUUGUACACACCGCCCGUCACACCAUGGGAGUGGGCUGCAAAAGAAGUAGGUAGUUUAACCUUCGGGGGGACGCUUACCACU
This 1421-nucleotide ribosomal RNA is filed under the name Vibrio alginolyticus. RNAcentral describes it as "bacterial SSU rRNA". It matches the Rfam family "Bacterial small subunit ribosomal RNA". The record is from RNAcentral. Lineage: Bacteria; Pseudomonadati; Pseudomonadota; Gammaproteobacteria; Vibrionales; Vibrionaceae.